AACGAACGCUGGCGGCAUGCCUAACACAUGCAAGUCGAACGAAGGCUUCGGCCUUAGUGGCGCACGGGUGAGUAACGCGUGGGAAACUGCCUAUUGGUGGGGAAUAACGACGGGAAACUGUCGCUAAUACCGCAUAAGCCCCUCGGGGGAAAGAUUUAUCGCCGAUAGAUGUGCCCGCGUCCGAUUGGCUAGUUGGUGAGGUAAUGGCUCACCAAGGCGACGAUCGGUAGCUGGUCUGAGAGGAUGAUCAGCCACACUGGGACUGAGACACGGCCCAGACUCCUACGGGAGGCAGCAGUGGGGAAUAUUGGACAAUGGGCGAAAGCCUGAUCCAGCAAUGCCGCGUGAGUGAUGAAGGCCUUAGGGUUGUAAAGCUCUUUCGGGUGGGACGAUGAUGACGGUACCACCAGAAGAAGCCCCGGCUAACUUCGUGCCAGCCGCCGCAGUAA
This 449-nucleotide ribosomal RNA is filed under the name uncultured bacterium. RNAcentral's name for it is "partial 16S ribosomal RNA". It matches the Rfam family "Bacterial small subunit ribosomal RNA", at positions 29 to 523 of the family's 1533-position model. The record is from RNAcentral.